CCUACGGGGGGCAGCAGUGGGGAAUAUUGCACAAUGGGCGAAAGCCUGAUGCAGCGACGCCGCGUGAGCGAAGAAGGCCUUCGGGUCGUAAAGCUCUGGCCUAUGGGAAGAAAGAUGACGGUACCAUAGGAGGAAACACCGGCUAACUACGUGCCCGCAGACGCGGUAAUAGGUAGGGGGCGAGCGUUGUCCGGAAUGAGUGGGCGUAAAGGGUACGUAGGGGGCUAGAUAAGUCAGAUGUGAAGGGCAUAGGGUUAACCUGUGUAAGCAUUUGAAACUGUCUAGCUUGAGUCAAGGAGAGGAAAGUGGAAUUCCUGGUGUCGCGGUGAAAUGCGUAGAUAUCAGCAGGAAUCCCAGUGGCGAAGGCGACUUUCUGGAAUUAGACUGAGGCUGAGGUACGAAAGUGUGGGGAGCAUACAGGAUUAGAUACCCCAGUAGUC
RNAcentral lists this ribosomal RNA (440 nucleotides) under uncultured bacterium. RNAcentral's name for it is "bacterial SSU rRNA". It matches the Rfam family "Bacterial small subunit ribosomal RNA", at positions 338 to 795 of the family's 1533-position model. The record is from RNAcentral.